UGUUACUUAAACACAGGAAUGUUUCAAGUUUCUGACUUGCUCCUAGAUUCAAGUUACUGAUCUGUGCGCGAACCCAAAGAUUUGUAAUACUUCCAACAUUAAAUCUUGCAGAACAUUUCGAGUAAUUACUUAAUGAAUUUCAUAGGAGAAAAUCAGGGCAAAGGUCUCAUUAUGGAAAAGGAAAUCGUAAAAUUUGUACUAUGAUCAUUUUAAUCAAAUUUUUAAUGCAAAGAAAUGCAAUCAAUCAAAUUUCUAAAGCACUCAGUAAAAAAUGGUGUUUGUUCAAUAUUACCCUGAUAGUUUCCAUAGGAGACGCUAUGACUUUUCGGUGUGUUAUCGAGCUGAAAAAUUAGUCGAGAGGUCUGGAUUCGAGACCAAGCAAGGACAUUCUGUUGCGUUCUUUACUCAGACGUUUUAAAUUUACGGCACCUCUCUUUACCCAGGGGUAUGAAUUGGCACCAGCGAAAUAUCGAAGAAAGUAUUCUCCAGCAGUGAAAACCCCUGAAAGUAUUUUAGCGGUCAAGGGAUACGCUGACAAAUAUGCUAUUAGAUCUAGAGAGGAUAUCGUCUUUUAAGAGAUAAAUGAAGUGUUCGCUAUGCAUUUCCGUCUCUUGUCUCAUUAUAAUCUGUCGCAUGCUUCAUGCCAAAAUAUGCAAGCAAGCUGACGGAUGAAGUGUCUUAAAGAAGGUCGGCUUUAAGUGCAUUUGCCUCUCCAACCAAGGAUGGUGUCUUCCUUACAGAGUGAGAUUUAGUUGCAAAAAGAGGAAAUUCAAGCCACAACAACCAAAUUCCAACUUUUGAGCAUCAUUUCCAUCCAGCCGAGUUCACCGAUCCUACGGAGAUAUCUGUUGAGACUAGUUAGUUGUAUUGGUAAAAUUUGUUUGAAAGGAUCAUUGCAAGGAAACUUCCGAAUACGAAGCAUUUUGGGCCGACGCCUGACACUCACGAAUACUGUUCUUUAUACAAAGAAACGCCCCGCUCACGCGACCUUGGCACGACAUGUUUUUGGUGUAAACCACACCUUGAAUAGAAGCCAACACCUCUGGAACAACUUCACAGUGACGGCAUUUGAUAUAUUCACUAAGAUUAAACAGAAAAAAAUAACCCGCUAAAAAAUUGGACUAAGCUUGCUGAAGCUCAGUACGGAUAGUCAGGUAAUUGACCUUGGAGACACCGUUGUUGCAUGGCUAAAAAUAGGCAUGUUAGGAGUUGAACAACAAUUAAUAAAGACACGGGAAUGAUCAGUGCUUGUGUAAAUAAACUCUCUUGUUUUUCAAA
This is a long non-coding RNA of Pocillopora verrucosa, 1278 nucleotides long. RefSeq lists it as uncharacterized. Lineage: Eukaryota; Metazoa; Cnidaria; Anthozoa; Scleractinia; Pocilloporidae. The record is from RefSeq and is a predicted model, not a curated record.